Molecule: ribosomal RNA, 254 nt
Filed under: uncultured bacterium
Lineage: Bacteria
Description: partial 16S ribosomal RNA
Rfam family: Bacterial small subunit ribosomal RNA
Source: RNAcentral
CACGUAGGGGGCAAGCGUUGUCCGGAUUUAUUGGGCGUAAAGAGCUCGUAGGCGGUCUCGUAAGUCGGGUGUGAAAACUCUAGGCUCAACCUAGAGACGCCACCCGAUACUGCGAUGACUAGAGUCCGGUAGGGGAGUGUGGAAUUCCUGGUGUAGCGGUGAAAUGCGCAGAUAUCAGGAGGAACACCGAUGGCGAAGGCAGGUCUCUGGGCCAUAACUGACGCUGAGAAGCGAAAGCAUGGGGAGCGAACAGG